UUUCUGUUUUGGCCAUGAGGUUUGGGUUGCGUUUUGUGAGUCUGGGUGUUGUGCGUGGUGAGUCUUCGGGUUUGUGUGUUCCGUGUAGUCAGUGAAGCUUUUGUUGGAGAUUCUUGUUGCCAUAGGUGGCGAGAUUGAUAGAGGUCAAUUUCAAGGUAUAGAUAAUACGCUGCAGGAGUCAGGAUGCCACCUCGUCGUAGAGAACGAAGCAUGUUGGAUCUGAAUGCGAACGAGAUCGAAAGGGAAGCAAACCCGAGUGCUUCCGACGUAUUACGAGCAGCUGCACAUCAAUUAAUUGAUGACCUUGUGCAGAAUCCCGCGGGUCGCCAGUGUAAUUUCAAUGAAGGGGGUUGUACUGUUGAGCAAUUCAAUCGAAUGCACCCUCCUUUAUUUGAUGGGAGAGGCGAUCCAACUUUGGCGGAAGAUUGGAUUCAGGACAUUGAGGAGAUUUUACGAGUCCUAACCUGUACUGAGGAGCAAAAGGUGGCAUACGCCACAUUCAAGCUUACUGGGGAAGCGAAGAGGUGGUGGAUCUCUGAAAGGACCA
Juglans microcarpa x Juglans regia is the source of this 547-nucleotide long non-coding RNA. RefSeq lists it as uncharacterized. The record is from RefSeq and is a predicted model, not a curated record. The transcript has 3 exons. Lineage: Eukaryota; Viridiplantae; Streptophyta; Magnoliopsida; Fagales; Juglandaceae.